AUUGAACGCUGGCGGCAGGCCUAACACAUGGAAGUCGAACGGUAACAGGGAUCAGCUUGCUGAUUCGCUGACGAGUGGCGGACGGGUGAGUAAUGUCUGGGAAACUGCCUGAUGGAGGGGGAUAACUACUGGAAACGGUAGCUAAUACCGCAUAACGUCGCAAGACCAAAGGGGGGGACCUUCGGGCCUCUUGCCAUCGGAUGUGCCCAGAUGGGAUUAGCUAGUAGGUGGGGUAACGGCUCACCUAGGCGACGAUCCCUAGCUGGUCUGAGAGGAUGACCAGCCACACUGGAACUGAGACACGGUCCAGACUCCUACGGGAGGCAGCAGUGGGGAAUAUUGCACAGUGGGCGCAAGCCUGAUGCAGCCAUGCCGCGUGUAUGAAGAAGGCCUUCGGGUUGUAAAGUACUUUCAGCGGGGAGGAAGGGAGUAAAGUUAAUACCUUUGCUCAUUGACGUUACCCGCAGAAGAAGCACCGGCUAACUCCGUG
This 490-nucleotide ribosomal RNA is filed under the name uncultured bacterium. RNAcentral's name for it is "partial 16S ribosomal RNA". It matches the Rfam family "Bacterial small subunit ribosomal RNA", at positions 30 to 507 of the family's 1533-position model. The record is from RNAcentral.